RNAcentral lists this ribosomal RNA (508 nucleotides) under uncultured bacterium. RNAcentral's name for it is "partial 16S ribosomal RNA". It matches the Rfam family "Bacterial small subunit ribosomal RNA", at positions 28 to 507 of the family's 1533-position model. The record is from RNAcentral.
GACGAACGCUGGCGGCGUGCCUAAUACAUGCAAGUCGAACGCUUCUUUCCUCCCGAGUGCUUGCACUCAAUUGGAAAGAGGAGUGGCGGACGGCUGAGUAACACGUGGGUAACCUACCCAUCAGAGGGGGAUAACACUUGGAAACAGGUGCUAAUACCGCAUAACAGUUUAUGCCGCAUGGCAUAAGAGUGAAAGGCGCUUUCGGGUGUCGCUGAUGGAUGGACCCGCGGUGCAUUAGCUAGUUGGUGAGGUAACGGCUCACCAAGGCCACGAUGCAUAGCCGACCUGAGAGGGUGAUCGGCCACACUGGGACUGAGACACGGCCCAGACUCCUACGGGAGGCAGCAGUAGGGAAUCUUCGGCAAUGGACGAAAGUCUGACCGAGCAACGCCGCGUGAGUGAAGAAGGUUUUCGGAUCGUAAAACUCUGUUGUUAGAGAAGAACAAGGACGUUAGUAACUGAACGUCCCCUGACGGUAUCUAACCAGAAAGCCACGGCUAACUACGUG